GAGGGCGGUCAGGACCCUUGUGGAAAGCUCUGGAAGCGGCUCUGAGCGGGAAGAUAAUAAAUCAUUUUAAGUAGGACUUGUACGUACGAAUAUUGACGAAAACUAUUUUUUUUAAAGCUCACAUCUCUGUGGCUUUACUUAGCCGUGUUAUUACGCCUUCACUCGCAUAUUCCAACGAGUGCGUCCAGUUUUCCGCCAACAGAUCAUUAAAAACAAUAUCUAACAGCUGCUACAGUAGAAGAGCAGCACCUCUGCGGCGGCGGGGUGUGUGAAACAGUUUAAUACGGGAGCGCACUACCCUGUUACAUCUCCGUCGGAGGCCUACAUACAGCGACAGUGGCAAACAACCCGCUCCCCACCUGCCCCCGCUCGCACCCACGCCAUCAGGAGUCCCCCGUGCGUCUCAGGUCUGUCCCGGCAGCGAGUGAGUGAGCGAGCGUGGGGUUCUGGGACACGGAGUCCAGCGGGCGUGCAGCGCGGAGCCGGGAGACGCCGAAGGCGGGGCUCUCACGCCAGGUCACACCGCCCU
Anguilla anguilla (European eel) is the source of this 529-nucleotide long non-coding RNA. RefSeq lists it as uncharacterized. The record is from RefSeq and is a predicted model, not a curated record. The transcript has 3 exons. NCBI's taxonomy places the organism in Eukaryota, Metazoa, Chordata, Actinopteri, Anguilliformes, Anguillidae.